RNAcentral lists this ribosomal RNA (253 nucleotides) under uncultured bacterium. RNAcentral's name for it is "partial 16S ribosomal RNA". It matches the Rfam family "Bacterial small subunit ribosomal RNA", at positions 524 to 776 of the family's 1533-position model. The record is from RNAcentral.
UACGUAGGGUGCAAGCGUUGUCCGGAAUUAUUGGGCGUAAAGAGCUCGUAGGCGGUUUGUUGCGUCGGCUGUGAAAACUCGGGGCUUAACCCCGAGCCUGCAGUCGAUACGGGCAGACUAGAGUGCGGUAGGGGAGACUGGAAUUCCUGGUGUAGCGGUGAAAUGCGCAGAUAUCAGGAGGAACACCGGUGGCGAAGGCGGGUCUCUGGGCCGUAACUGACGCUGAGGAGCGAAAGCGUGGGGAGCAAACAGG